This is a long non-coding RNA of Teleopsis dalmanni, 911 nucleotides long. RefSeq lists it as uncharacterized. The transcript has 4 exons. Lineage: Eukaryota; Metazoa; Arthropoda; Insecta; Diptera; Diopsidae. The record is from RefSeq and is a predicted model, not a curated record.
ACAUAAAUUUCUAAAAAUAUAAAUUUUUUGGAAGUUUGCAGGAACAAAAUUCAAAAUCUGAAAUGGAUCCCACAAAUUUUAACGCUCUACUUAUGUUCUGUUGUUUUGUUUUCACAACGCUUUUGGUAAGAGUAGAAUAUUUUCUGUACCACUGGGUUGGAUCUCAGCAAAAUAAUACACCUGCAAGAAGACUUCAUAGAAAUUCAUCUCGUCAAAGUCAACCCAAUUCUUUAACAGCAGAUAUAGCUGAAGAAAUGUUGUCACAGUACUUAGGUGAAAGCGCCUUAGAAAAUGAGAGACUUUCUGUAGAAAUACAAACAGAACAGUCUAAUUUUAAUUUAGAUAGACUAAAUGGAUCUAAUACUCAACAUACAUCUAUAUAAAUUGGAUGAUUUGGUAACUCUACUAUGGUUCUAGUCAAGUUGUAUUAUGAGUUCUCUUUGAUAUAUACCAGUUUUAAGGAGCAAAUCGUUAAAAAGAUUUCUUUAUAACUUGCAGGACCCAGGGGUUACUGGAACUACUCAGUGAUGAGGAAUGAACGUGAGGCUGCUAGAAUUAAUCAGUAAUUUAAAAACAACAUUCGUUAUCGGAAGUAAUGUAAAUUCCUCAAUAUCAUAUAUUUUCUUUGGUCAUUAUAGAACUGGGUCUGGAAAACUUGAACUGAAUCAUAUUUUGUAGUACCCAUUUGCAUAUAAUUUAACAACAUAGAUAGUAGAUAGCAAUAACACAUAGUGGUGAUGCUAACGAUUAUGAUACCAAACGUGUCGAAGGACCUGAUUAUUUUUCGAUGUGCGGCUAAGCAACAGACUAAGAAGAGUUUCCAUCUUGUUAAAAAUUUUGUGGAUCCAUAACAUAGAAAACUUCGUAUUAACAAUAUUAAACUUAAUAACUUUCGGCAAUAAACAUAUUCU